AGCGAACGCUGGCGGCAGGCUUAACACAUGCAAGUCGAGCGGGCCCUUCGGGGUCAGCGGCGGACGGGUGAGUAACGCGUGGGAACGUGCCCUCUGGUCUGGAAUAACCCUGGGAAACUAGGGCUAAUACCGGAUACGCCCUUUUGGGGAAAGGCUUGCUGCCGGAGGAUCGGCCCGCGUCUGAUUAGCUAGGUGGUGGGGUAACGGCCUACCAAGGCGACGAGCAGUAGCUGGUCUGAGAGGAUGAUCAGCCACACUGGGACUGAGACACGGCCCAGACUCCCACGGGAGGCAGCAGUGGGGAAUAUUGGACAAUGGGCGCAAGCCUGAUCCAGCCAUGCCGCGUGAGUGAUGAAGGCCUUAGGGUUGUAAAGCUCUUUUAUCCGGGACGAUAAUGACGGUACCGGAGGAAUAAGCCCCGGCUAACUUCGUGCCAGCCGCCGCCGUAA
This 449-nucleotide ribosomal RNA is filed under the name uncultured bacterium. RNAcentral's name for it is "partial 16S ribosomal RNA". It matches the Rfam family "Bacterial small subunit ribosomal RNA", at positions 28 to 523 of the family's 1533-position model. The record is from RNAcentral.